GAUAAACGCUGGCGGCGUGCCUAACACAUGCAAGUCGAACGAAGAGGCCCCUUCGGGGGUACUUCAGUGGCGAAUGGGUGAGUAACACGUAGGUGACCUGCCCCGAAGCAGGGGAUAACGGCUCGAAAGGGCCGCUAAUACCCAAGAGGGUCGCGUGUCAUAACGCGAUCAGAGUUACGGCGUUUCGGGAGGGGCCUGCGGCCUAUCAGCUAGUUGGUAGGGUAACGGCCUACCAAGGCAAUGACGGGUAGGGGGCCUGAGAGGGUGGCCCCCCA
This 275-nucleotide ribosomal RNA is filed under the name uncultured Chloroflexota bacterium. RNAcentral's name for it is "uncultured Chloroflexi bacterium partial 16S ribosomal RNA". It matches the Rfam family "Bacterial small subunit ribosomal RNA", at positions 28 to 310 of the family's 1533-position model. The record is from RNAcentral. Lineage: Bacteria; Bacillati; Chloroflexota.